RNAcentral lists this transfer RNA (73 nucleotides) under Armatimonadota bacterium. It matches the Rfam family "tRNA". From Rfam's summary of the family: Transfer RNA (tRNA) molecules are approximately 80 nucleotides in length. Their secondary structure includes four short double-helical elements and three loops (D, anti-codon, and T loops). Further hydrogen bonds mediate the characteristic L-shaped molecular structure. tRNAs have two regions of fundamental functional importance: the anti-codon, which is responsible for specific mRNA codon recognition, and the 3' end, to which the tRNAs corresponding amino acid is attached (by aminoacyl-tRNA synthetases). tRNAs cope with the degeneracy of the genetic code in two manners: having more than one tRNA (with a specific anti-codon) for a particular amino acid; and 'wobble' base-pairing, i.e. permitting non-standard base-pairing at the 3rd anti-codon position. Lineage: Bacteria; Bacillati; Armatimonadota. The record is from Rfam by way of RNAcentral.
CCCCUGGUAGUCCAACGGCAGAGACAAACGACUUAAAAUCGUUACAGUGCGGGUUCAAAUCCCGCCCAGGGGA